GAUGAACGCUGGCGGCAGGCUUAACACAUGCAAGUCGAGCGGGCGAGGUUGCUUCGGUAACUGAGCUAGCGGCGGACGGGAGAGUAAAGCUUAGGAAUCUGCCUAUUAGUGGGGGACAACAUUCCGAAAGGGGUGCUAAUACCGCAUACGUCCUACGGGAGAAAGCAGGGGAUCACUUGUGACCUUGCGCUAAUAGAUGAGCCCAAGUCGGAUUAGCUAGUUGGUGGGGUAAAGGCCUACCAAGGCGACGAUCUGUAGCGGGUCUGAGAGGAUGAUCCGCCACACUGGGACUGAGACACUGCCCAGACUCCUACGGGAGGCUGCAGUCGAGGAUCAUUCGCAAUGGGCGGAAGCCUGACGAUGCGACGCUGCGUGGAGGAUGAAGGCCCUCGGGUCGUAAACUCCUGUCAUGGGGGGAGAGGCGGAGGCCGCGAACAGCGGCCCGAGUUGACGGUACCCCAAGAGGAAGCCACGGCUAACUCUGUGCCAGCAGCCGCGGUAA
RNAcentral lists this ribosomal RNA (502 nucleotides) under uncultured bacterium. RNAcentral's name for it is "partial 16S ribosomal RNA". It matches the Rfam family "Bacterial small subunit ribosomal RNA", at positions 28 to 523 of the family's 1533-position model. The record is from RNAcentral.